GUCGGGUUUGUCGAGCGGGCGAGCGAGAGCGGGCGACCGUCUGAUGACUUCCUGUGCAAUCUGAGCAAACAGCAAAGCUCCCCAGAAGCCGUCAGAUGCUNGAACAACUGCUUGUGGCGAUGGGAUCUUAAUCUGGACACCCUCCGCACUCAUGAGUUCCCGGGGUAUUUGCUGGUACCGGUAGAUCAAGCUGAUCCUGGAUGUGUUUCCACAUGGCAGAGGUUGGCUAGUCUGAAGAAAAUCUGAAGGCAUUCCAGCAAGCAGUGAACAUGUGUAUAAAUUGCUGCCUUGAUGCUGUUUGCAGCCAUCUUCUGUUUUCCUCACUUAGAGUGUAGUAUUCUGGAAGCAACAGAGGACUCAGGGCCAUGCUGAAUGAUCACACAUUUACCCAGAAAGUGCAGAUAACCUCAGUCUCAUUCUUGGCCCAGGCAUGGAGAGCUCAGAAGUUGAAUCAGACUUUCUCAGAAGCGUGCAUGCCCUCCUCCGGGAACUUGAUGGCCACCAUCCAGCCUUCCAGAGUGAGAGAGGGAUGCUGCGAUGGACCUUGCACAAGAAAAUUGAUAGGAAUCCUAGCAAUGGAGUUGUCUUGAUUAAAAUUUUGGUGAAAGAACUGGAAAGGGCAGAGAGAUGCAACCAUCCACAAUACAUUAUACCGUUGCUUCACACACUGAUGUAUACACUGAUAAAGGUGCCUUGCAUUCCUGAUGAUUUGUAUGAGAGAGUAUACAAUUUCUGCAAGAAGUUACUCACUCUGCCCAAACCUUACUGCACCAUUGGUCUGGAUUAUGCUCAACGGCUUAAGCUGGAACGAACAAUACCAGGUACCUAGCAGACCAUGUUUGUUUUGUUAUGUUGCAUUCAUUUCUUCAGUGCUUAGGGAGAAAGGAGGGAUUGUCUGAGUGUUAUAUCUGAAAGGUCAUAGAGG
Molecule: long non-coding RNA, 925 nt
Filed under: Salvator merianae (Argentine black and white tegu)
Lineage: Eukaryota; Metazoa; Chordata; Lepidosauria; Squamata; Teiidae
Description: lncRNA (ENSSMRG00000022402.1)
Source: RNAcentral